AUACGUAGGUGGCGAGCGUUGUCCGGAAUUACUGGGCGUAAAGGAUGCGUAGGUGGAUAUUUAAGUGGGAUGUGAAAUCCCCGGGCUCAACCCGGGAACUGCAUUCCAAACUGGAUAUCUAGAGUGCAGGAGAGGAAAGCGGAAUUCCUAGUGUAGCGGUGAAAUGCGUAGAUAUUAGGAGGAACACCAGUGGCGAAGGCGGCUUGCUGGACUGUAACUGACACUGAGGCAUGAAAGCGUGGGUAGCAAACAGGAUGAGAUACCCUGGUAGUCCACGCAGUAAACGAUGAUAACUAACCGCUGGUGCGCAAGUAUCAGUGGCCAAGCGAAAGCGAUAAGUUAUCCACCUGGGGAGUACGACCGCAAGGUUGAAACUCAAAUGAAUUGACGGGG
Molecule: ribosomal RNA, 393 nt
Filed under: uncultured bacterium
Lineage: Bacteria
Description: partial 16S ribosomal RNA
Rfam family: Bacterial small subunit ribosomal RNA
Source: RNAcentral